Molecule: ribosomal RNA, 501 nt
Filed under: uncultured bacterium
Lineage: Bacteria
Description: partial 16S ribosomal RNA
Rfam family: Bacterial small subunit ribosomal RNA
Source: RNAcentral
AUUGAACGCUGGCGGCAUGCCUUACACAUGCAAGUCGAACGGCAGCACGGGUGCUUGCACCUGGUGGCGAGUGGCGAACGGGUGAGUAAUACAUCGGAACGUACCUUAUCGUGGGGGAUAACGCAGCGAAAGCUGUGCUAAUACCGCAUACGCCCUGAGGGGGAAAGCGGGGGAGCGCAAGACCUCGCGCGAUUAGAGCGGCCGAUGCCUGAUUAGCUUGUUGGUGGGGUAAAAGUCCACCAAGGCGACGAUCAGUAGCUGGUCUGAGAGGACGAUCAGCCACACUGGGACUGAGACACGGCCCAGACUCCUACGGGAGGCAGCAGUGGGGAAUUUUGGACAAUGGGGGCAACCCUGAUCCAGCAAUGCCGCGUGAGUGAAGAAGGCCUUCGGGUUGUAAAGCUCUUUUGUCAGGGAAGAAACACCGGCUCUAACACAGUCCGGGAAUGACGGUACCUGAAGAAUAAGCACCGGCUAACUACGUGCCAGCCGCCGCGGUAA